UCCCUGGUCGCUCAGACGGUAAAGCAUCUGUCUACAAUGCAGGAGACCCAGGUUCGAUCCCUGGGUUGGGAA
Transfer RNA from Ovis aries (sheep), 72 nucleotides. It matches the Rfam family "tRNA". Rfam says of the family: Transfer RNA (tRNA) molecules are approximately 80 nucleotides in length. NCBI's taxonomy places the organism in Eukaryota, Metazoa, Chordata, Mammalia, Artiodactyla, Bovidae. The record is from Rfam.